GACGAACGCUGGCGGCGUGCCUAAUACAUGCAAGUAGAACGCUGAAGGAGGAGCUUGCUUCUCUGGAUGAGUUGCGAACGGGUGAGUAACGCGUAGGUAACCUGCCUGGUAGCGGGGGAUAACUAUUGGAAACGAUAGCUAAUACCGCAUAAGAGUAGAUGUUGCAUGACAUUUGCUUAAAAGGUUCAAUUGCAUCACUACCAGAUGGACCUGCGUUGUAUUAGCUAGUUGGUGGGGUAACGGCUCACCAAGGCGACGAUACAUAGCCGACCUGAGAGGGUGAUCGGCCACACUGGGACUGAGACACGGCCCAGACUCCUACGGGAGGCAGCAGUAGGGAAUCUUCGGCAAUGGACGGAAGUCUGACCGAGCAACGCCGCGUGAGUGAAGAAGGUUUUCGGAUCGUAAAGCUCUGUUGUAAGAGAAGAACGAGUGUGAGAGUGGAAAGUUCACACUGUGACGGUAUCUUACCAGAAAGGGACGGCUAACUACGUG
Molecule: ribosomal RNA, 495 nt
Filed under: uncultured bacterium
Lineage: Bacteria
Description: partial 16S ribosomal RNA
Rfam family: Bacterial small subunit ribosomal RNA
Source: RNAcentral